UACGUAGGGGGCAAGCGUUGUCCGGAAUUAUUGGGCGUAAAGAGCGUGUAGGCGGUCCGGUAAGUCAGCUGUGAAAGUCAAGGGCUCAACCCUUGAAUGCCGGUUGAUACUGUCGGGCUAGAGUCCGGAAGAGGCGAGUGGAAUUCCCGGUGUAGCGGUGAAAUGCGCAGAUAUCGGGAGGAACACCAGUGGCGAAGGCGACUUCCUGGCCUGUUCUUGACGCUGAGGCGCGAAAGCUAGGGGAGCAAACGGG
This 253-nucleotide ribosomal RNA is filed under the name uncultured bacterium. Its description in RNAcentral is "partial 16S ribosomal RNA". It matches the Rfam family "Bacterial small subunit ribosomal RNA", at positions 524 to 776 of the family's 1533-position model. The record is from RNAcentral.